UACAGAGGGUGCGAGCGUUACUCGGAAUUACUGGGCGUAAAGCGCACGUAGGCGGCUUUUCAAGUCGGUUGUGAAAUCCCCGGGCUCAACCUGGGAACUGCAUCCGAGACUGCAUUGCUAGAGUAUGGGAGAGGAAAGCGGAAUUUCUGGUGUAGCAGUGAAAUGCGUAGAUAUCAGCAGGAACAUCAGUGGCGAAGGCGGCUUUCUGGACCAAUACUGACGAUCAGGUGCGAAAGCGUGGGGAGCAAACAGG
RNAcentral lists this ribosomal RNA (253 nucleotides) under uncultured bacterium. Its description in RNAcentral is "partial 16S ribosomal RNA". It matches the Rfam family "Bacterial small subunit ribosomal RNA", at positions 524 to 776 of the family's 1533-position model. The record is from RNAcentral.